UGCCCACUGAUAAUAAUUAAAGGGCUGCAGUAUUUUGACUGUACAAAGGUAGCAUAAUCAUUAGUCAUUUAAUUGAUGACUUGUAUGAAAGAUUGGAUGAAAUAUAUACUGUCUCAUGGAUAAUUUAUAGAAAUUAAUUUUUUAAUUAAAAAGUUAAAAUAUUUUAAAAAGACGAGAAGACCCUAUAGAGUUUUAUUUUUUGACAUUUUAAUUAUAUUUGUAAAUAGAAAUAAUUUUUAAUUUUGUUAAAGAAUUUUAUUGGGGUGAUAAAAAAAUUAAUUUAACUUUUUUUUUGUAGUAAACAUGAAUAAGUGAUUAUUUGAUCCAAUUAUUAUUGAUUAUAAGAAAAAAUUACCUUAGGGAUAACAGCGUAAUUUUUUUUUUUAGUUCAUAUAAAAAAAAGAGUUUGCGACCUCGAUGUUGGAUUAAGAUAAAAUUUAAAUGCAGAAGUUUAAAAUUUUGA
Molecule: ribosomal RNA, 463 nt
Filed under: Pida minensis
Lineage: Eukaryota; Metazoa; Arthropoda; Insecta; Lepidoptera; Erebidae
Description: partial large subunit ribosomal RNA
Source: RNAcentral